AUCCAGCUGACGAGUCUAAAAUAGGACGAAACGCACAUCCUGAAU
Non-coding RNA from Schistosoma mansoni, 45 nucleotides. The record is from Rfam. NCBI's taxonomy places the organism in Eukaryota, Metazoa, Platyhelminthes, Trematoda, Strigeidida, Schistosomatidae.